RNAcentral lists this ribosomal RNA (519 nucleotides) under uncultured bacterium. RNAcentral's name for it is "partial 16S ribosomal RNA". It matches the Rfam family "Bacterial small subunit ribosomal RNA", at positions 355 to 868 of the family's 1533-position model. The record is from RNAcentral.
UGGGGAAUUUUGGACAAUGGGCGCAAGCCUGAUCCAGCCAUGCCGCGUGCGGGAAGAAGGCCUUCGGGUUGUAAACCGCUUUUGUCAGGGAAGAAAUCUUCUGAGUUAAUACCUCGGGAGGAUGACGGUACCUGAAGAAUAAGCACCGGCUAACUACGUGCCAGCAGCCGCGGUAAUACGUAGGGUGCAAGCGUUAAUCGGAAUACUGGGCGUAAAGCGUGCGCAGGCGGUUUUGUAAGACAGAGGUGAAAUCCCCGGGCUCAACCUGGGAACUGCCUUUGUGACUGCAAGGCUUGAGUGCGGCAGAGGGGGAUGGAAUUCCGCGUGUAGCAGUGAAAUGCGUAGAUAUGCGGAGGAACACCGAUGGCGAAGGCAAUCCCCUGGGCCUGCACUGACGCUCAUGCACGAAAGCGUGGGGAGCAAACAGGAUUAGAUACCCUGGUAGUCCACGCCCUAAACGAUGUCAACUGGUUGUUGGGAAGGUUCCUUCUCAGUAACGUAGCUAACGCGUGAAGUUGA